UUAAUUAAUCUUUUGUUGACUUUUUGC
RNAcentral lists this non-coding RNA (27 nucleotides) under Bombyx mori (domestic silkworm). Lineage: Eukaryota; Metazoa; Arthropoda; Insecta; Lepidoptera; Bombycidae. The record is from RNAcentral.